This is a long non-coding RNA of Cercocebus atys (sooty mangabey), 1427 nucleotides long. The record is from Ensembl. Lineage: Eukaryota; Metazoa; Chordata; Mammalia; Primates; Cercopithecidae.
GCAGGGCCUCCCCGGGGCCUCCAAGCCCGGCCCAGGGGAGCUCUGGGAGGAAGUUUUCCCCAGGACCCUGCCUCUCUUCCCCCACCUGCAGGGCCUCCCCAGGGCCUCCAGGCCUGGCCCAGGGGAGCUCUGGGAGGAAGUUUUCCCCAGGACCCUGCCUCUCUUGCCCCACUGGAGCCUGGCUGUUUGUCCUGGGGAGGACAUUGAGCUUCCGCAGCCUGGAUCCAACCCCAGCUCCGCCCUGGGCCCCAUACACACUGCAGGGUCUAGUGCCUCUGAAUCCAUCUGCAGUGGCUGGAACCCCAUUCUCCAAAUGUUCACCCCAGCAUUCUGAGGCCAGGACUGGGCUGCUUUACACUUCAGAAAGGCAUGUCGGGGCUGGGAGAAAGCAGACCUGCCAUCUGGAAAAGCUGCCCCAGGCCUGUCCCCACCUGAAGCCACGGUGCGCUGCAUGCACCUCAGCCUUGCAUCUUGCAGCGUGUCUACAAUCUUCAUUCCCAACAACCUUCCUUCCUGAGCCUGGUAAUCCCCGCCCUCUUCUGUAGCACCAGGUACCCUAGCAGAGCCCCUGUGUCCCGUGUCUGUCCAGUGCCUGCAAAAAGAGAACCAUGGGACAAAACCCCCAUUGCACAGAUGAGGAGGCCAGCCAGAGAAGGGAGCAUUGACCUGGGUCACCCGAGAGUCGAUGGCAGCCCUUCCCACCUGCAUUGUGUGGUGUUUUGAUCUCCUGGAGGGCAGCUUACAAUCCCAGACUCUCCAAGCGACAGAGAGGGCCCGUUCUGUCCAAGUCCACAUGCCACCCAAUUUACAGAUGAGGAUGCUGAGGUCUGGAAAGAUGAGGUGACUUUCCAGAUGGCUCAAAGAGGAGCAAUGGAGUGACUGGGGAGGAAUGAUCGGUUAAUCAAGAGGUAAGACUUUUCCACGCUGGUCUCACAUCAUACAUGAAUUUAAUUUAACUGAGUUAAAGUCUACUUAACUAAACACAUUUGCCCCUCACACCCCAAAGGGGAGAUGAAGGUGUCUGUUCCAAGCCAAGCCCUCCCGUCGGGUCCCACAUGUCUCUGAGGAGGAGCACCUGGUUCCUCCCUCUGCCUGUGAGUGUCCCACCCCUCUGUGUGACCCCUAAACACAAACCUUUACUGUAUCUGGAGCUUGACAGGAGAAACAGCGAUCUGUCCUAAUGCAGGAGGAAAAGCUGGCUGUGCUGAAUUUAUUGAGAAAUGGUGGUUGGCUCCAACAUGACGGCUUCCCAAGGAAUUUUCAAGGGCAUUUUGAUUCUCAGUGAUUUUCCCCUUACACACCUGUCCUCUGCAUAAGGUGCAAUCCCACUGGCUCUCCAGCAACUAGAAAAGAAACAAGAGACCUGACAUUUUUAAAUCUUUUUACCAAAGUAUAAACCACAUGCACAAAAAUGCACAUAUUUUAAG